Molecule: ribosomal RNA, 446 nt
Filed under: uncultured bacterium
Lineage: Bacteria
Description: partial 16S ribosomal RNA
Rfam family: Bacterial small subunit ribosomal RNA
Source: RNAcentral
CCUACGGGUGGCAGCAGUCGAGAAUCAUUCACAAUGGGGGAAACCCUGAUGGUGCGACGCCGCGUGGGGGAAUGAAGGUCUUCGGAUUGUAAACCCCUGUCAUGUGGGAGCAAAUUAAAAAGAUAGUACCACAAGAGGAAGAGACGGCUAACUCUGUGCCAGCAGCCGCGGUAAUACAGAGGUCUCAAGCGUUGUUCGGAAUCACUGGGCGUAAGGCGUGCGUAGGCGGUUUCGUAAGUCGUGUGUGAAAGGCGCGGGCUCAACCCGCGGACGGCACAUGAUACUGCGAGACUAGAGUAAUGGAGGGGGAACCGGAAUUCUCGGUGUAGCAGUGAAAUGCGUAGAUAUCGAGAGGAACACUAGUGGCGAAGGCGGGUUCCUGGACAUUAACUGACGCUGAGGCGCGAAGGCCAGGGGAGCGAAAGGGAUUAGAUACCCUUGUAGUC